This 8389-nucleotide unclassified non-coding RNA is filed under the name Acanthaster planci (crown-of-thorns starfish). Its description in RNAcentral is "protein bicaudal D homolog 2-like, transcript variant X1". The record is from RNAcentral. Lineage: Eukaryota; Metazoa; Echinodermata; Asteroidea; Valvatida; Acanthasteridae.
AGAAAAUUAAACAUGGCGACUCGUGGUUAGCCGGUUGGUAAUUUGGGGGAUCGUCAUCGGUCCAGAAUUUCUAUUUAGUUGUCUUCGUUGUAACAAUCUUUUCCAAAAUGUCUGACUCCGACGAGUUUCCAGAGACCAUUGAUGAACUCCGGGUGGAAAUUGAACGUCUGAAGGAUGAAUUAAACCUCGCAAGUCAAGAGAAAAUCCAGGCGGCCGAAUAUGGGUUGGUUGUGUUGGAAGAGAAACAGGCGUUAAAACAACAGUUCGAAGAACUGGAAGUGUUGUAUGAAACCUCCAAGACGGAACUUCAACUGGCCAAAGAGGCCUUAGAUCAGCACCAACUCAACCAGAAGAAGCACACUCUCCAGGAGGUGAACCGGGAGGAGAACCUGCUCAAGGAGACGGCCACGCGAGAGGCCGACCUUGUCGAGCGUAUCUCGGACCUCGAGUCGGAGAACAAGAGCUACCGGCAGGAGCUGACCCACAUCAAGAUCGAGAAUGAGAGGCUGCACGCUCGGCACGGUGAGCUGGUGGUGCAGACGGAGAAGUUGGAGGUGGUGCGCAAGACACUCAAAGAUGAAGUUCGGGACAUUAAGUUCCGGGAGACCAGGCUCCUGCAGGACUACAGCGAGCUGGAGGAGGAAAAUAUUGCUAUGCAAAAACAGAUAUCGAUGUUGAAGUCCUCAGUUGUGGAAUACGAGGCCAUGAAACAUGAGAACCGCCGUUUGACUGAAGAGACCCAGUACCUGAACACACACAUCGAGGACCUGAUCCGUCUCAGAGAGAUCGCCGACAAGCAGAUCGAGGAGACGCUCCAAGCGCUGGAAGCCGAGCGGGAACAGAAGCACUACCUCAAGAAACAGCUAGACCAGGCCAUGAUCAUGGAGAUGGAGGCCUUCAACAAUGACCUCAUGAACAGCUCAGGCCUCUUGGGCGAGGACGCUGACUCAGAUACGGAGUCUCAGUCCCCCGAUCACCCCAUCCUGCGCCGCAUGGAGUAUGAAUUCCAGUCCACCAACGGCACCAAUGGUCUGCACAUGCACGGUCAGUCGACCUGCAUGGGCUCCGAUCUCUACAGCGAGAUGCAGUCCACAGAAGUUCAGAAGCUGGAGGAGCAACUGGCCAAAUUGCAGACAGAGAAAACAGAACUCUCCCAGAACUUGGAGCAGACCAUCGGGGCACUGAAUCGUCUCCCAGAUGACCUGAACAUCUCUGGAACAGACAGUGAAGGGGAGCCACUGCCUGAAGACUUGAGUGUCCACCACCGCAAGCUACUGAACCUUGUGCGGCUUGUCAAACACCACGAGAAGAAGUAUGCAACAGCGAUGUCCCAGAUAACUGCCUUGCAAGCAAAAGUGGACAAUCAGCAGGAUAAGUUGAAUGAGGAGAGCAAGAAGCCAGACCUGCAGUCAGAGGUGGACCUUCUGAAUGACCGGAACAGGCAUCAAGAGAUGACUAUCAAGAGUUUGCAGACACAGAUGAGACAGAUGAACGAUAUCAUCAUGGAAUCACAGGGUCACUUAAACUGUACACAGGAUGAACUGAUCAAUGUAAGUGAGGACUUGGCCCAGUUGUACCACCACGUGUGCGUGGUGAAUGGCGAGACUCCCAACCGCGUCAUCCUGGACCACCUCAAGGCAACAAGACAGAGCAGACGGGAGAGCUUCCGAGCAGAAAUUGCCAGCAGGUUAAAGGAGGUGUCAUUUGAUGCAGACAUGAGUAGGGAGAAACCUGUGAACUUGAAUGCUAGUGAAAAUGAUGGGAACAUCAGCACAGAUGAGAGCUCCUCACCUGCCUCUAGCAUCAAGUCAUCCACCCCCAUCUCUAGCCCAUCCAGGCGGAUACCAGAUGCCUCACCGAGAAUGGUUGGCAGCGACCCGAUCACCUGCAACAAUCUGUUGACAACCAUUCGGGAUCAGAUCAAGUAUCUUAAACGAUCUGUGGAGCAUGCGGUAGAAAUGUCACGGCAGCGCAGCAAUGAGACUGCCGGAUCGGCUGAAACAGAAGACUUGCGCGAGGAGGUCAUGAAACAGAAAGCGCUCCUUGCCACAAAACGAGACCAGAUUGUAACGCUCAGGACAGUCCUUAAGGCCAACAAGACAACAGCUGAGGUUGCUCUGGCCAACCUAAAGAGCAAAUACGAGAAUGAGAAAACCAUUAUCGCUGAGACGAUGAUCAAACUUAGGAACGAACUGAAAGCUCUCAAGGAGGAUGCAGCCACAUUUGCCAGCCUCCGCGCCAUGUUUGCCACACGGUGCGAUGAGUACGUGACCCAGCUGGACGAGAUGCAACGCCAGCUGGCCAGUGCCGAGGAGGAGAAGAAAACCCUGAACUCCCUGCUGCGUAUGGCCAUCCAGCAGAAGCUAGCCCUGACCCAGCGGCUUGAGGACCUGGAGUGCCACACCGAGCUGCAGCAGAUCAACCCCCGCAAGGCGGCACCCAGGCGCCACAAGCCCUCCAAAUUUAGGCGAGAUUCAGCUCGGGAUUCUACACGGGAUCCAGGGAAAGACUUCGGCCGAGAUGUAGCUAAAGAGUCGUCUCGAGUUUCGCCCCGAGAACCCAGCAGACGAAGCUCAGGGAGUUCUUACGCCACAGCAACGCGCAUUGUCAGCCGCAGCGUGCCCAAGGGAUGCCAUGGCCAGGACGUCUGAUCCCUCUCCCCCAUCACAGUGAAUGGCACUGUCCCACCGACAUUAGUUUUGCUGAAGAUUUAACAGUGCCUUCGAAAUCACCAGAAUCACACUCACGCUGGAGGUGGCUGUGAAAAUGGACAGAUUGGUGACACUCCCUCAACAGAUGACCUGCUACCCUCUCUGGUGUGGCCUCGCCCCCUCACCCUUGCCUUCCAUGUACAGCCCCACCCUAUGGGUAUGUCCAGGGGCAAGUAUUCAAGGACCUGCGUAAGCACAGAAACAUAUUGCUUAUCAGAAGCUGGUUACCAGCCAAAAAUGUUACACAAUGUGUAUUGGUCAUAACUGGCUCUCAGUUGACCUUUGCUAAGAUGUAAAUGUGCUAAGCAAUCUGUUCCUGUUUUCAGCUCCUUGACUUUGAGCCUUUAUCAAGGGAGUAAAAAAUCAUUGCAAUUGAAAGUUACCGGUAACUCUCUGAAUUAGAAUGGUAAAUUUUGUGACGAGAAUUAACUUUCGUGCUCGCUUUCCACAAGACAUGAAAAUGAUUUUCCACAUGAGUGAAAGGGUGUGAACAAUGCUUCCUGACUUGUGGGAAAAUCUGUGGAAAACAAGCGGGAAAAGUCUUCUCACAUUUUGCGAAAUGAAAAUGAAUUUCCUGGGAAAAGAAAAUGUGUGAAGAGAAUUUCCCAUUCCCAGGUUAACUUUCAACUGCAAUAUACCAUACUGUACUAUGUUGAUAUCCCCCGUUCCACCUGUAUGUUUCAGAGAUGUACGGAAUUUGUGCAUAGAUUUCUAACUUCUUAAAAUUAUAAUAUUUAACCCUUUUUUCUAACAUCGUAGUCAGGUUUGUUACUCUUUGUAUGGUGCUUUUAGUACUUACGUAUAAUCAGUCACAAUUUAUAGACAGAGAAUUGUACCAUACUCAUUUACUUUCACUGCGUCCUUAACUACUUCACUUGGUGGAAAGCUUUCCAGUAAGACUGAGAUGAACCUUUGGAAUGUUUUCCAUAGCUUCAUGGAUGAUAAUGACCAGUGCCUUUUUUACUGAGAUCCUGAAAACAUUUGACUGAAUGCAUUUUGCAAGGGAACAUUUAAACAUUCAUGUGAUAAGUGGAAGGUAGCAUCCAUGAACAACUAUGUUUGUUUCAAUAACUAAUCCCUUUACAUCCACUGGUCACCAGCAUGUCAAAUUACAUGUACAUGUUACUCACUCAGCAUUAGGAUGUGUACAACGUGCCUGACCGGACGUACAGUACGCCUCAAAUUCAAGAACACCUGCAAUGUACAUUCAAGUGUGUUGCCACGGUACUGGCAGUGAUUCAGCUUCCAAACUUGCACAUUUCAUUAUUAUUAUGGGGGGGGUAGGAUCUUGAUGACACGAGUGAUGGCUUGGCACCAUUCUGUGGAGUAGUUAAGGACAUAAAUUCUUGCAUGAAAUUAGUACACGGGUUUAUUCUUAAUUGGUUUUUACCUCACUUCCCUUCCUAUCAACCAAGUUGCCUUAUGAACAUAGUCGAGUCGUGAAACUUUAAUAUAUUUUGUGGUUAUUUUAGAUUUCUGUAAACCUAUGAGCUAUUUUGCCACGAUCAAAGUUUCCACUUCAAGCAGUGCUGUGUUGGAAAGGUUUGCUUCCAGUAACUCUCCUCCAACAUAGAGUUGUGCAAGAUGACCUAACCCUGUCCACAAUCUCAUGGUUUUUCAAAGUACCAGUACUGCAAGUUGUCAGAACGCACGGGUACGCUAAGACAGUUGCCUCUCUGAUAGCCAUCACAAGAUGGCGAUGUUGGCAUUGAUUACCAUGUCUACAGUUCAUUGACCCCACACAUAUCACACUAAUGUUCAUCCUUAUUUAUCCACUGGUCACCUACAUGUACAGUCGAACCUCGUCAGUAAGAAGCUCUUCGGACUUGGCAAAAUUACCUUGUUAUAACAGGAGCCUGGUAUUAUCAGGAAUGAAAACAAUGAAAAACAAAACACUGGGCCCUGAAGAUUUCCUUGCUGUAAGCAGAAUCUUGUAUGAGGUUCAACUGUAACAUGUAUAAAUGCACUGACUGGCAAAGAGUAGGCAGCAAUACUUGAUAUUACAUGUAAAAGAACUUGCUGCUAUCUUCUCACAUGAUGAUUGUGCACUGGCCAGUGAGUUUCCAUGGGCGUCACCAGGGUUUUUUUUCCAGGGGAGGGUGCAAUUUUUCUCAGCAGUAACCUGACAAGCCAUUAAUGGGGAAGGGCAUCAAUUCCAAGAAAUUUUUUCAGUAAAGCAUUGAUUUUUAUCCCAUCUCCAUUUUGUUUCUUUCACUUUUUCUCUUUUUUUUUCUUUUCCCCCUAGUUUUCCGUUUUUUUCCCUAGGUGCGCCUUGCCUCCCCCCCUCCACCAGAGCCAGGUUACUCUUGUAAAGGUCACUGGAUAUAGACAAAAAAUGAACAUUAGCGAAUGCACAAACAUUAACAGGCUGACUUUCUGUAGACAUUGGUUAUCAAUAUCAACACCUGCCUCUUGAUAGGUUGAUAUCAGGAAGGACCCACAGUGGGACAUACUUUCAUUUCAGCAUCAUAGAAACUCAAAAUGCUGUAAAUUGUCUUUUGCCAUUGUUGCUGCGAUUUUGUAAACAAUAUACAUACAGUUCUGAUUCCUUAGUAAUCAUGUAUCACCUCACCUCACCUCAAGCAUUAAAGAAUACUGGGUAUAUUCUCCUUGAAUUAAACAGCAAUAUCGAUCAGCACUGAUAUAGUCUUUUCUGCUAAUUGUAGUUCUGUGUGAAAGUUGCCUCCUUGCAGACUUUGACAGACAUGUAAAAUGGCACAGUGCAAGCAGUGCACCAGAGUUUCCAGCAACUUGACAAUUGCAGUGAAAUUGAAAUCGAACACAGAAUGAGAGACAAGUUGUAAAAGUCAUUGUUUUAUUUUUGUGUGGAUGAGUUCUCAAAUUACAAAUAUGUAUGGCUGUGUGCUGGAUGCUACCAGAUUUGCACAAAAUUCAAGAUGGCAAAAUUCUCAGAGGGAAAAAAGAGACCAAUACAUGUAUGGGCGUAACUGGCGACUGACACAGGGGACUCUUUUACUUAAAAGUAUUUUUGUUCUGGUCAUUCUCCCUUUUCAGUGACGUGCCAUUCUUAAAUUUGGUCAGGGUUAUGCAUCCCAGUCAUGCACCGACACAUUGUAAUAUUUGUCACUUUUGGUUGCUGCUUUUCUGACAACUCCAUUUUGCGGUUGUGCAGGUUUUGUUGUGAUUUUGUGCUGGUAGCUUUUUGUUUUGGUAUGCUCAGAGUAAUUUAUAUUUAAAUUUAUUUAUUUAUUUACAGGCAUAUUAAGCUGUAUUACACUAAUCUUUAUUUUAAUAUGUACAUGCGUGUAUUAAACUUUAUUGAAGGGUAAUUUAAGUCUGAUUUGACAGGCACCUGUUUACUGCAGGCUUUGUUUUCCAUCAAGUAGGCUUUUUUGAUCCCCCCAAAACUUACCUUCUCCAUUUGAAUGUGAACCUUCAUUUACACUGUCUAAAUUAAGUUUACAACUUAAAUUCAAAUUGAAAAAAGGAAUUUUUUUGGGUUUUCACGUCCUUUCUCAUUUUGAAUGAAACCUGUCACAUUUUGGAUAUUGUGCAGGAGCAAUUAGAUUGCAGUCAUUCACGAGAACCGUAUGUGUGGUACAAACCAUCUGUACGCCCUUGUUGAAUGUGCAUCAGACACAUGUAGGGUGAAAUAUGCGUAAUUUAAAAAUGAUGCAUUUUUCAAAAAUAGCAUUAAUUUUCCUGUGCACUAACCAGUUCUUGCUUGACUAGUCUCAGUUCAAGACGUUGCUGUCAGUAUGAAUUGCUGCUUAAAUGUUUGACCCAAAUGGCGAUCGUUAUACGAAAGUCUAGAGAGCUUCUACAUUUCCUCGGGCAGGCACGAUGUGGAGUUCAGAUUUUGAAAUUACGAAUCCUGAUAAGUUAUUUCUUUGCACUUGAACAUAUGAUGAACAGCUUACAGGUAAAUACAAGAUAAUGCAUUAUUUGAAGGGUUUAUUUCCAAAAUGAGAUACAUGCAUAUGUAUAUCCAUUUGAAAAACAUGCAAUUUUUCCAUAAUUAUGUAAGAUUUCAGAGCUUUUGCAGUGUACCAAAUGCCCCUAACAUACCUAAACUUCUUUUUCUCUAUUUUGAGUCAUUAAAGCUGUGUUGAGCAGUCUAACAGAUGUUGGAACUGACUGCAGGCAUCAGACGGAGGGUAGGAUUCAGAAAGAUACCUACAUGUAAAUGGCACUUAUCGCAUUUUGGAAAUAAAUACUUCAUUUCAUCCACUUGGUUGACCUGAGGCUUCUUUGAAGUCAUCAGUAACAACAUGCAAACUGUGUCUACUGGAUGGAAAUCACAUGUAGAGAUUUGUGUGAUUUCUUUGUAUUUGAGUUUUAACAAUCUAUGGCACCUGGAACUGAAUUUUGAUCCUCUCUCCAUAGCCUUACGUCCCAACUAUGGCUUUGGUCCCAACUAUAGUUGGGGCUGAGGCCAUAGUUGGGGCGUAACAGCCUCAAUCACACAGGUCAAGCUGUGGACUGGGAUUGUUCAACCAGGAAAGGGAAAUCAGUUUUCCAAUGUGCAGUUGAUGAAUUAUUAGAGAUUUUAAAGACUUAUUCAUGAAUUCCAGCUACGCUCCAACCACCUUGCAGAUUGCAUCGUUUUAGGAUGUACAAAUGAAAAUUUAUUUGUAAGUAAAUACUGUUUACCAUGCAGUGAGUUGCUUUACAUAGCCCCGCUUGAAAUUCUUGGUCAGAAAAUGCAGAUUUCUGAAUAAAAAUUGGUUUUCAAAACAUCAACCAACCAAAUUCUUAGUACGCGUGUGACUGGUUGUUUUAACAGAAUUCUGAAGAAUCCAAGAGAGGUUAAUAAUGAACAAAAAUGUGCUUUUGAAUAGCCCAUGAUUUAUAAAUACAGACUUACUGUGAAAAUACAUGAAAUCCACAAGUAAAUAUUUUACUGCUGAAUUGGCACCAAUGUACUUCUGACAAUAGGUCUUGCUUGCCAUUGGAUAUUAAUAGAAUGGUAGGAAAGGUCAUUAGGCUGUGUCAUCUUGUGAUGUCACGCACAACUUGCUGUGCACAGUACAAGUCUGCAACACGGAGUGACCUGCACAGUAAGGCACUGAUUUUUACGUGUUUCUGUCAGUGUUGCAGGUGACUGUCACAAGUUUUCUUGUGUACAUGUACCCAAUCAGAAGUAACAAAAUGAACAGUAACAAUGAAAGGACUUGCCAUUACACUGGGCCCUUUGCCACAGACCUGUGAUGGACUUGACGACAAGGACUAACAUGUUUAUUCUAUCACGCCUGAUUGCCCUGGAAAAAGGAUGGAUCACUAAACAUGCAUUAUACAUAAGCAGAUUCAGCCACAUACAGGAAAUUUGCAAUAGAAUUUGCAAUUCCUUAAUAGAAACGGCUGAUAUGAUGAUGGCCCGGGAUACAGAGACCUCUUUAAAAUAAUCACAAAACCACCAAAGGAUUAGCGUGACCCCCCCCAAUAAGACUGUAAAGUGUAAUGAUGAUACUACGCUUUGUUUACCAGUGUGCUUUCCCAUGGUACUAAAUGGACCAGCCGUGGGCUCCCAUGGGCUCCAUAGGAAAGUGAGCAUGUAUAGGUGUAACGUUGUCAGUACAAAGUCCUAUUCAAGUCACAGCUAUUCAACUGGACUGCAACAAAAGCAUUCCUGUGUUCACCCCACUUCUUGUAAAUGGUCUUAAGUCUGGUCCUGAGAUGGAUUCUACAUGUACAUGGAUUCUGCAUCUGCUCACACA